This 88-nucleotide unclassified non-coding RNA is filed under the name Pseudomonas migulae. The record is from RNAcentral. Lineage: Bacteria; Pseudomonadati; Pseudomonadota; Gammaproteobacteria; Pseudomonadales; Pseudomonadaceae.
CGUAAGAGCCGGCUUGCUGGCGAUGCAGGCGCCGCGGUCCAUCAUACAGACCGCGUCAUCGUUCAUCGCUAGCAAGCCAGCUCCCACA